RNAcentral lists this small nuclear RNA (20 nucleotides) under Arabidopsis thaliana (thale cress). RNAcentral's name for it is "snRNA_14816". Lineage: Eukaryota; Viridiplantae; Streptophyta; Magnoliopsida; Brassicales; Brassicaceae. The record is from RNAcentral.
CUAUCGAUCCUUUAGACCUU